CAUUACCUAAAUGGAUAUCCAUGGUAAUUCUGGAGCUAAUACAUGCACAAAACACCCGACUUUUCGGAAGGGUGGCAUUCAUUAGCCUUUCAGAACCAUCCGGGCCUUCUGGUCCGUGUCUGGUGAUCAUAAUGACGGAGCGGAUCGCAUAAUAUGCGACAGAUCGUUCAAGUUUCUGACCUAUCAGCUCCCGUCGGUAAGGUAUUGGCUUACCGAGGCUGUGACGGGUAACGGGGAAUUAGGGUUCGAUUCCGGAACAACUGCGAAAGCAUUUGCCCAGUGUGUACCUGUUAAUCAAGGACGAAAGUUGGGGGAUCGAAGACGAUUAGAUACCGUCGUAGUCCCAACUAUAAACUAUGCCGACUGAGGAUCGGAGGUGGAAGAUAAACGACUCCUUCGGCACUCCAAGAGAAAUCUAAGUCUCUGGGCCCUGGGGGGAGUAUGGUCGCAAGGCUGAAACUUAAAGGAAUUGACGGAAGGGCACCACCAGGAGUGGAGCCUGCGGCUUAAUUUGAUUCAACGCGGGGAACCUCACCAGGCCCGGACAUAGUCAUGAUUGACAGAUUGAGAGUUCUUUCUCGAUUCUAUGGGUGGUGGUGCAUGGCCGUUCUUAGUCGGUGAGGUGACUUGUCUGGUUAAUUCCGAUAACGGACGAGACCUCGACCUGCUAACUAGCAAACGUUUACACAUAGUAAGCGUUUGGCUUCUUAGAGGGACUUUGUG
RNAcentral lists this ribosomal RNA (723 nucleotides) under uncultured eukaryote. Its description in RNAcentral is "bacterial SSU rRNA". It matches the Rfam family "Eukaryotic small subunit ribosomal RNA", at positions 129 to 1426 of the family's 1831-position model. The record is from RNAcentral.